Molecule: ribosomal RNA, 199 nt
Filed under: uncultured bacterium
Lineage: Bacteria
Description: partial 16S ribosomal RNA
Rfam family: Bacterial small subunit ribosomal RNA
Source: RNAcentral
AGUCUGCAACUCGACUGCAUGAAGUCGGAAUCGCUAGUAAUCGCGGAUCAGCAUGCCGCGGUGAAUACGUUCCCGGGCCUUGUACACACCGCCCGUCACACCAUGAGAGUCGGGAACACCCGAAGUCCGUAGCCUAACCGCAAGGAGGACGCAGUCGAAGGUGGGAUUGAUGACUGGGGCGAAGUCGUAACAAGGUAGC